RNAcentral lists this long non-coding RNA (917 nucleotides) under Olea europaea subsp. europaea. The record is from RNAcentral. Lineage: Eukaryota; Viridiplantae; Streptophyta; Magnoliopsida; Lamiales; Oleaceae.
CCACUAAACAUAAAUUUAAGUUAGAGUUUUAAUAACUUUAUUAAAUUUGAACUAAAUAUAUGCAUAAAAUGUCAAUAACUAAGCUAGGUAUGUUAUUGUACAUGUGAUCUUCUAUGAACUAAUCGAUCAACAUACCUUCUUGUGUUUUUUGCAGCAUGCACUUGUAUAAAUUUCAGGAAAAUCGAAUUUCUGUUGAAUUAUAACACGAGCCUUGACUUGAGCAAAAUAAUAGUAUUACCUUACCAUGAAUGAUGUAUAUUCUCACCCUUAUGUUCUUCCAUGUCGACUAAGAAAUAUGUAUUAAUUAAGAUCACUCGUGAUCACGAACAAAAAUUAACUUUCUUUUAGAAAAAAAUGUUGUCAAUAUGUCGAACUUGUUGAAGUUAAUUAUUAAAAAGUUCGGAAAAAAAAAUUUAUAAUUAGUAAUUAGGAGCUCCAUUUCGGAUCGGUGGUGAUCGCCACUAAUAAUGUAUAGUAUUACUCAAUAUUAUAAACGAAUCUAUCCAAAUGGGAUUUGGCCCCGAAACAAUGUAGUGAAGAAGUAUAGAAUCGCCUUUGAAAGUUGGAAGCCAAUUGUCGUCUGCCAAGUGGAAAUUGUUCUUGACACGUAUGCACGACAUGGAUAUUUACUUUUUAAGCAGGGGAUAAUAUUAUGUUUUAAAUUGCAUUAUUGUGGUACUAACUAAAACUUCAGCCACGAAUCAAUGGAUGACGAAUUUCGAAGUUUGAUGAAAAAUGAAGCCAAUCUCUGAUGGGCCCAUCCCACCUUUAUUAUUAUCAAGUAAAAGUAGUCCAUCAUAUACAGGCCCAACCCAAAAAUGGUCCCUUGAUAGAGCCCAUUAUCCUAGACAGUGUAUCUGUAUAUAUUUGAAAACUUCAUUAGUCUCUCUCAAAAUUAAAAAAUGAAACCAUUGAUU